UCACUUCUUUGAAAGUUUCCAAAAAGUAUAAUUAUACGAUAGUACGUCAUGAAAAACUGAACGUGAAAAUGUUUCAGGUCUGAUAGAUAGCGUAGUAUGUUCUGUUAUGUUUAUUGGUAAUCUUGUUCAGUGCUGUUGGAACGCAUGUCCCUCCUCGUCACUUCAUUUCUUUUCCGUUCGUGUACCGUCUAUUGGUUUGUAUUUGCAGCCGCCAAGAUCACCGUAACUACGCCGCCGAUACCCCUCCACCUCACCUUGUCAUAGUUUUAACGCGGUGCGACCUACUACGUUGGGGAGGAACGGCAGCAGCAGCAGCAGGCAAACCAUUCGACCAGGUUAACUGGUUUUUCAAACAGUUUUUUGUCGAUCGCCGGGCAAGCGGUCGUCGGACGUUAUAACCUUCUUUACUCGCUCUUAGAUUUAUCAAUAUUUUAUGUGUUGAUCGUUUUCGUCUGAACGUUAGCGAACAGAGUUAAUUUCUUUCGCAUAGUCUUAUAACGGUUUUUGUUGGUUUACCAUUUUUAUUAUUUAAUUGUUGCAGUUUUGCCGGUGAUUAGUGCGUAUAUUGUACUUGUAAUUAACCGACCAUUAACGCCAUGUUGGGGUUUAGACAUCGUUUUCGUCGCCGUCGUUAAUAAAUUGUCUAGACGUUGUGAUUAGGGCGAUAGUGUGUUACGUUAUCUAAUAGUUGUGAUUGAAGAGAAGCAAAAAUAAAAAUGCUGUGUGCCGAAGAGAUAGCUAGUAGCAUAGACGAGCAGGACGCUGGAGCAUUCAAGUCACCAAUACGACGUCUCGGUUCGACUAGGAAAAUUCUGUACUUCAACAGUAGAAAUUUAGGGUCACAAAUUGCAAUAGGCUCGUGCGCAUUUAUUAACUACAGGUCUGCGGCCUUUAUGUUCCUGUGAAAUAUAAUACGGAUACAGCAUUCCUCUUAGAAAGCAAUGACACACAAUAAUAGAUUUCGGUGUAAAAUCACAAUGAUGUCGCACUUCUCACAAAAUAUGUCUCGUCGGUUAUUUCAAUCUGAACGUUUUGCACCUUACGUUGUAUUAAACAAUUAAUUGUGAGAUAAAAAUUAUCUAACGUCUUUUUAUUAAAGUAAUUAGUUUUAUUGUUGUAUCCAUUUUUAUUUUUUUCGUUGCAUUCUGAACACCAAGACUGUAUGGGAAGACCUUCGAAGAUACUCAAAGGAUUUAGUCGGAUUGCUUCUAUUGUUUUAAUACAUUUUUAAAAGAAUUAAAUGUAUACUCUGUCGUUUCAUUUAUACACAGUUUACACCUUUCAAAUUAAUUAAAUACUUGAUUAAAUCAUGAUUGGUCAUGGUAUCUCGUAUAAUUAACUAGAGAAAUUAUCAGUGAUUCAUUGAAUCAAACUGUACUCGAGAUACAGAAAAUUGUUAAUUUUCUCAUGACGAGUGUACUCUUAUCAUGCAAGGUUAAAA
Molecule: long non-coding RNA, 1441 nt
Organism: Daktulosphaira vitifoliae (grape phylloxera)
Lineage: Eukaryota; Metazoa; Arthropoda; Insecta; Hemiptera; Phylloxeridae
Exons: 2
Source: RefSeq, a predicted model, not a curated record